Molecule: non-coding RNA, 554 nt
Organism: Leptonychotes weddellii (Weddell seal)
Lineage: Eukaryota; Metazoa; Chordata; Mammalia; Carnivora; Phocidae
Source: RefSeq, a predicted model, not a curated record
CCGGAAGCGCCGCUCCCGCCUGCGAGUGUGAGCUUCCAUGUGGUGGGGAACCGCGCUGCGCGGCAGGGGUGCGGCCCAGUCUUGCCGCAGAGCCCGGAGCUGGGAGGGAAGGCCGGCUGUGCCCGGGACACCCCCUGCCCUCUGUCCGGAUACCGUGCCGCGGGCUGUGCCUGCCAGGACAGAUUCCAUCUCACCAUGAACCACUGACAUCAAACUUGUGAAGCAUUUCCAUUGAAUCGUUGGAAGGACUUCAUGUUCAGAUAGGGUUUGGAGAUGGGUGUGCUGGAACUUCUCUGCUGGGCUCCCGAAUUUCCACAAAGGCCCUCUCAUGCUGGAUGAUUGUCUAAUCAGUGUUCUUUGAGAGGAAGACAGUAGAAAAGUAUCCUGGCAUGUUGAUGAAGUCUGUUUCUUCAGAAAGUAAUCUUUUUUUAUAAUAACAGUUGGAGCCCUUUCACAGGAAGGCAAGAAAGAGGGCAUGAAGGGAAGGUUUUAUGUUUGACUGCAUGAAAAUUUUAAGUAAAAGAUCCAGGAAAACCUGAGAAGUCUGCUAUAGA